GACGGAGGGGGCAAGCGUUGUCCGGACUCACUGGGCGUAAAGGGCGCGCAGGCGGUAGCGUGCGUCGGUGCUGAAAGCCCCCCGCUUAACGGGGCGAGGCGUGCCGAUACGCCGCAACUGGAGGCAGGCAGAGGGUGGCGGAAUUCCGGGUGUAGUGGUGAAAUGCGUAGAGAUCCGGAGGAACGCCGGUGGCGUAAGCGGCCGCCUGGGCCUGACCUGACGCUGAGGCGCGAAAGCGUGGGGAGCGAACCGG
Molecule: ribosomal RNA, 253 nt
Filed under: uncultured bacterium
Lineage: Bacteria
Description: partial 16S ribosomal RNA
Rfam family: Bacterial small subunit ribosomal RNA
Source: RNAcentral